AACGCUAGCUACAGGCUUAACACAUGCAAGUCGAGGGGCAGCAUGACGGAAGCUCGCUUCCGUUGAUGGCGACCGGCGCACGGGUGAGUAACGCGUAUCCAACCUGCCCUUGUCCAUCGGAUAACCCGUCCGAAAGGCGGACUAACACGAUAUGCAGUCCACAGCAGGCAUCUAACGUGGACGAAAUGUGAAGGAGAAGGAUGGGGAUGCGUCUGAUUAGCUUGUUGGCGGGGUAACGGCCCACCAAGGCGACGAUCAGUAGGGGUUCGUGAGAGGAAGGUCCCCCACCAUUGGAACUGAGACACGGUCCAAACUCCUACGGGAGGGCAGCAGUGAGGAAUAUUGGUCAAUGGGCGUAAGCCUGAACCAGCCAAGUAGCGUGAGGGAAGACUCGCCCUACGGGGUUGUAAACCUCUUUUGUUUGGGAAUAAAGUGCGGGACGCGUCCCGCAUUGCAUGUACCAUUUGAAUAAGGACCGGCUAAUUCCGUG
RNAcentral lists this ribosomal RNA (490 nucleotides) under uncultured bacterium. RNAcentral's name for it is "bacterial SSU rRNA". It matches the Rfam family "Bacterial small subunit ribosomal RNA", at positions 32 to 507 of the family's 1533-position model. The record is from RNAcentral.